Non-coding RNA from Microcebus murinus (gray mouse lemur), 3049 nucleotides. The record is from RefSeq and is a predicted model, not a curated record. NCBI's taxonomy places the organism in Eukaryota, Metazoa, Chordata, Mammalia, Primates, Cheirogaleidae.
GUGCGCGUCCUGCCGGAAGCCACCGCGCUGGGCAGGAAGCAGCGAUGAUGAGGGGCGCUGGGCCUCCACCGCUCCCUGGAUAAGCCCGGGCUUAUCAAAGGAAGCAUCAAAUAACAUUUGGUGUCCCUCCACGGUGGUCCAAAUCCAUCUGGAGAUGGCUACGCAAGUCUGUGUCUAGCUUUGCACGUCUUGUACUUCUGUGCUGGUUCUGCGUGUGUCAACUUUUCCUUCUCCCUGGGAGCCCUUGCUCGACCAUUUUCCACGUCCACCUGGACUUCUCAGUACCCACUCUUGCCGAUCUGGGGGCACUGGAGACACUGAUCUCUUAUUUUAAAACCAGAAUCAGUGAGUGGACUUUGAUGCGGAGAAUUUUUCAUUGCAGCCAACUUUUCCAGCGCGUCUGCAUUCCUUCAUUCCCCACGUGCUCCAUGCCAGGGGCUCUCGUGUUAGGAGAACCGGAUGCAAAGGGUGAACGAGCCUGGUUUGGGGAGCUUAUCAUUCAAGAACAUUCCAAGGGCAGGAGGUGCUGUUCAGAGCACCAGGGCAGGUUGGUGGGAAGAGCACCCCUGAGGAAGGGCACACAGCCCAUCUGCCUUCGUGGUGAACCCUGAGCCCAAGGUUAGAAUUUCCCCCAAAACAUCUCCGCCUGCAAAUCUCUAUUUCUCAUUCCUUACUCCCAGACCCUUAAAAUACUCAGUGCAGAGUCCAAAAAUCUAAAAGCAAAAAACAAAACCACCAUAAAGAAAACCCCAAACUCUUCCAACCUUCAAACUCCACCUUUUGACCUAAAAAGCAAAAUGUUUCUAAAGCAGAACAAGCUCCUUUCAGCGGGAGAAAACUCCGAACUCUAAAAGGCGAGGAAUCCAGCGUCUGUUCUCUACCACGUGAGCACCAAAUACCAAGGAACCAUCCCGGACCAGGAGGCCAGCCCGCACCAGCUGCUUCAAAGAGGCUGCUCUCUCCCGAAGGCUUAACACAGUGACCCCAGCAACUCGGAGGGGCAGCGGGGAGCUCCAGCGAGCGCGUUCCAUGCCCAGUGCCAGACGGCCCUCGCCACGGCAUUCACACCAUUAAAAUCCCAUCUUCGGAGGCUGCCAAGUGUCAGCGGCUGCCCUGUCCCUCUUAAAUAGCCAUACUUUCAUGCAACUAAAAAAUAAAAAGGAAAGAAGGGGAAAGUUCACUAGACUCAAAAAUGUGGAAUAAACUGUACCUCUCCCCGCAGAUAAAUAAAACUGGCGCAGCCCUAGUGGCAAAGACUUCAAACAAACAGGGCUGCUUCCUCCUUGGCUCUGUGUCAUCUUUGAGCUGAGGAGACGCAUCCAUCAGCAACUCUCCACAUAGAAGCCCACAGCCCAGGGUCUCUGCCCUCCCCGGCCACCUUCGGGGCAACAGCUCCCACUGCAGCCCCAGGGGACAGUGGCUUUUCAGCCUGGUCCCCUCAUCCUCCAGUUCGGGAGUUUGGAGACCUGAACCCUUUUCUUUUCCUUGGCAUGUUUCAUUUACAAUGAUUAUGCUCAACAGUGUGAAUGUUUACCAUAUGUUGGUUGUGUGGCAAAAUAUUCUGGCUCCCCUAAAAAGUCAGGUCGCUGAGUCACGCAGCUAGAGAAAUCUUGGGGGAGGUCGUUAGCAGCAGCUGGGGCAGCACGGUGCCCUCACAGCCUCCUGGAGGGACACGGGAGGGGAGGCAGGGCUGAGAGUUAGACCUCGGCCGGAGUCCCCAACUGCCGGAGCACAGCGGUGCUCACGGGACAGCAGAGCCGUGUUGAGAUUCCCUUGGCCAGAACCUUGCUUACUCUGGAGAGAAAGCAGGGACGGAGCCCGGGCAAUGAACAGGACCAAGGAAACUUGCGGACAGAAACACUAUUCAAUAAAAACGAAAAGCAGAACUCAGUCACCAUCAAAACACAAAGAUUGCUCCAACUUAAUUUUUAUUAGUCCUUCAUUCUCUCCAAUAUUACAUGACUAGCUUCAAAAGUGAGCAAGCGAGUUUAUUUUGAUGAUAAAUAUCAUGGAUUUAAAUGGAAUAUGAGCAAGCGCAACUGGCGAAAUCCUGCAGCUCUGGCAACGUCCCCCAAGGUGAGAGGCUGCCUUCUAUCACGACACGGCCACUCCCAGUCACCACAUGGCCAGGACUGGCGGUGAGUACAAAACGCUAGAAAACGCCGCACACCGAGGCCGGCGGGCUGGAGGGCGAGGCUCCCGAGUUGCAUGUGCCUGAGGAUCACGGGGGAUCUCGUCUCCGACGCCGGCUCCAAGGUCGCAUUUCCUCCUCUGCUCUCAGCUCAGGGAAUGGGGCGUGUUGCUUAACGCGUGAUCCGAGGAGUGCCCAGGAAUCCUGUGGAAAGUCUAAAUUCCUUGGGCCUCCUCCCCACUCUGCCCCAGAUUCUUACGGGAUAGACAGGGCAGGGCGGGGCGGGGGAGGGAGAGAGCACGGAUCCAUAUUUUCCAGAAGCCUCUGGACCAUUCUCGUCAGGUUUUCCCCAGCAGUGCUUUCAGGAACAAAACAGCCAAGUCCCACUACCGCCUCGGCGGCUGUCAGUGCUGAGCAGGCGUGGAAAUGCCGUUUAUGGGUUUUCCUAGUCUACCCCACACAAGAAUAAUUUUCCGCACUAUUUCCCCAUAUGGGACUGAAAAACAGGAGCCAGGAGAUGAAACUGCACAGGGAGCGGGACUGGCCACCAUGACUUCGCUCCCUGGUGCCUCAGGGGCUCUGGGACCUCGGACAUGUUGCCCAACAUCUCUGAGUCCGUUUCCCAGGGGCCGUGGUGAGGACCGGGUGCACAGCCCCGGCCUGGCCCAGCUCGCGCCCGGCCCUCUCCUCCUCCACUGUUGUCAAGCUCCAGUCACCGGGAACAGGGAGGACACAAACGUCAUUCUUCUGAGCAUUAUCACUCCAUGAACGGGGUUGAGUGUGAUCUCUCAAGGUGGAAAUUGAAAAACUACUCAAACUGCCCAAAAAACUUCUAGAUUAGCCAAAUAUCGACCCCUCGGCAGGCAUGGACUUCAAAGAAACAGUAUUUUUUAAAAUAAAUCCAGUCAUGCAGGCUGA